Molecule: long non-coding RNA, 1680 nt
Organism: Phalaenopsis equestris
Lineage: Eukaryota; Viridiplantae; Streptophyta; Magnoliopsida; Asparagales; Orchidaceae
Exons: 4
Source: RefSeq, a predicted model, not a curated record
AACAGUUUCCCUCUUUAACGGUCCUCGGUCGGUGUUGCAUGCCAAUUCUCGGUUCCAAAGAGAUCGCGUCGUCCUUACCUUGUUUCUUCGUGACCUCUCCUUCGGCUUAAGCUCCCUAGCACCCCCAACUUUACCGUCGGCGGUGACCGGCCUUUGCAUGAUCAACUCACACCGGUGAGCCCAUCAGUGACCUCCUUUCCUCGCCAAGAUUGUGUGCCCUAUCUAGCUCUUCACGCCUCUGUUGGUGAUUCCGCUCGAGCCUGCGCCUCAUCGUGUCGAAUGCCAGUGGUUCUUACCUCCCUCCUCUCCCCGGCGACCCUAAACACCGAUAAGUCUUUCCUCACGCUAGCUAACCACUGGCCUUGCCUCCUCUCUUCGAUUGAAACCCUCGUUGCAGCCCUUCUCUUGAUUAUUUCAUGCGACCUCUCCCCGGUCUCAUCGACUUCCCGCCGGUGAAUUCCCCACCGUUAGUCUCUCCCGUUGGCAGCCCUGCUCAAGUGGUUAUCCCUUAUAGUGAAGUCUCUCAUCCCCUAUCUCUUGAGAUUCCCUAGGGGUAACCUCCUCGUGGCUGAAAUCCUUCGCACCGGCAAUUCUCGCAGAUCUCCCUCUCGAUGUCGACAACCCCUCGUAAAAUAGCUCCUCACGAGAUCUCUCUAGCUCAUGUGAAACCGAGCUUAGGGCAAGCAAAUCUGACCUUGCCUCCAUCUCCCAUUGAUGGAGCUCAGACCAAUGGCGGGGCAACAAUCAUGUUACGGUGAUAGCAUUGUGGCGUAUUGAAACCCCAUUCUGCCCCUUCCACAGCGGUCUUUCACAUAGCAGCUAGAGCCCCACCACUAGAUCCAUCGAACCUUCGAGAUUCGAGGCAACAACUUGGGGGCAUAUUCACCACAACUUACCGAAAGGACGAGCAGCCCUUAUGGAUUGGUGAGGAGCUCUAGGGUUAAUUGACCACAGCAUGAGGCUCUUCUAAUUAUGAGAGGAAGUGGUAGAUGAACAGGGUGAAUUGGGCUAUAGAGUGAGCCAAGAGAGUUGCGCUCAAUAUUGGAGGAUCAUUCACCAAUACAGAAUACUACAGAAAACUAUGUCAAUCUCCUACACUACAAGGGCCAGGAGUUAAGUUUUGAGCCCUUCGUUGCAGAGCUGCAUGUUCGAACCCAUCAGUGCACAAAGUCGCAAAAGUGGGCUCCGAGCACUCCCAGCAGUUGAAUGAGAGGUGCUUGGCCUCUCUGCCCCAUACUUCCACCAAUAACACUGUGCGGUUCGAGUUCGAGUUGCGGACUCAGGCGGCGGGAAAGAAGAGGAGGAGGGUCUAUUGCCUCAGUGUGAAGGGCAUAACCCUCGAGGCCAAGAUCUAUCAUGUUUCAAUCAUGUUUCUGAGCUCGUCAUAACCAGACCAAGAUACUCUUGCCAAACAAGUUGCUGUCAUGAAUGAAGAGCUUCGCCAUUUGCAUGAACAGAUGUUACAAGGCCAACAUAGGGUUGAGGAUUCCAUAACAUGCAUUAUCUAUAGUUUAGCAAAUCGUCGAGGCAAGCUAUUGAUAGCGUUAGUAGGGGGAGGACGAGGAUGAAGAGGAGGAGGAGGGAGAUGAGAAGUAGGGGUUUUUUUUUUGUUCUCUUUUAUUUUUCAGGAUUGCUUUGAACUUAUGUGAUGGAUUUUUUUGACGAAUUCUAUUGUUGAUA